Molecule: ribosomal RNA, 643 nt
Filed under: Drosophila barbarae
Lineage: Eukaryota; Metazoa; Arthropoda; Insecta; Diptera; Drosophilidae
Description: partial 16S ribosomal RNA
Source: RNAcentral
UUAGAUUUUAUUUAUUAAUUGUUAAUAUUAUUUUUUAAAUUAUUAGAAGUAACUAUAAAUAAUAAAGUUUUAGUAUUGUUUAAAGAAAAAAUAAUUUUAAUAAUAGUUUAUUAGUAUUGUAAAAGAAAAUUGAAAUAAUUUGAAAAAAUUUUAUUAUAAAAGAAAAUUUAAUUUAUUGUACCUUGUGUAUCAGCGUUUAUUAAAUAAAAAAUAAAUAUUUAUUUUUCUCGAUUUUAAAAGAGUUAAUAUAAUAUAUAAGUUAAUGUAAUAAAAUUAUUUAAAAUAUUAUAUUAGAAAUGAAAUGUUAUUCGUUUUUAAAGGUAUCUAGUUUUUUAAGAAAUAAAUUUAAUUUAGAAAUUAUAAAUUUAUUUUAUUAUUUAAUUAAUUAAAUAAUUUAUAAUUUUAAUAUUUUAUGGGAUAAGCUAUAAAAUAAAUUUUUAAAAAUAAUAAAUAAUUUUAAUAAAUAUAUGCUUAGAAUUAGCAAUUAUUAAAAAAUGUGUUAUAAUUUAUUUUAUAAAUUAUAUUAUUUAUUAAAUUUUAAAUAUUUAUUAAAAUAUUAAUUUUAAUUUUUAAAAUUAAGUAAUAAUGAUAGAAUUAGUAUAUUGUAUUGUUAAAUAAUUAUAUAUGAAAAGUUUAAAUAAAG